CUACAUUCCUCAAAGUCCCGUCUAUUCAAGCCUUAAAGGACGAAUGGAUCGAAACCUAAGAAGGAAAUAAUAGAGACCUAGAGCAUACCAAACCAUUCCUUCGAAAAAUAUAAGCUGAAUUGCAGCUGGUGCAAGUUUUUGCAACCGGCUGGGGACUUCUUCCAGGAAUCCAGUGUCUGCUUUCUGGGUUCCUUUGUACUAGUUUCCGUUGUUUGUUGACGACCUAGAAAAGCUCGAAAUUACGUGAAAAUGGAGCCAAAACAAAUGGCAUGAAAGGGAUUUGUGUGUGUGUGUGUGUGGGGAAUGCAUUCAGGGUGAAAGUGAGAAAAAGAGGGAUAAAAAGGGAGUUAUGACUGAGGAAUUGUUCUUGAGGAGCUUAAGAUAUGGGGUCAGUUACACAGGCUAGCUGUUAAGAAAUCAAAGUGAAUAGCAGGAUGGAGGCC
This 443-nucleotide long non-coding RNA is filed under the name Olea europaea subsp. europaea. The record is from RNAcentral. Lineage: Eukaryota; Viridiplantae; Streptophyta; Magnoliopsida; Lamiales; Oleaceae.